RNAcentral lists this ribosomal RNA (862 nucleotides) under uncultured Zetaproteobacteria bacterium. Its description in RNAcentral is "bacterial SSU rRNA". It matches the Rfam family "Bacterial small subunit ribosomal RNA", at positions 34 to 889 of the family's 1533-position model. Lineage: Bacteria; Pseudomonadati; Pseudomonadota; Candidatius Mariprofundia. The record is from RNAcentral.
CGCUGGCGGCAUGCCUAACACAUGCAAGUCGAACGGUAACAGGUCUUCGGAUGCUGACGAGUGGCGCACGGGUGAGUAACGCGUGGAUAUCUGCCUAUGAGUGGGGGACAACUUUCGGAAACGAAAGCUAAUACCGCAUAAUCUCUACGGAGCAAAGCAGGGGACCUUUCGGGGCCUUGUGCUUAUAGAUGAGUCCGCGUCAGAUUAGCUAGUUGGUGGGGUAAGAGCCUACCAAGGCGAUGAUCUGUAGCUGGUUUGAGAGGAUGAUCAGUCACACUGGAACUGAGACACGGUCCAGACUCCUACGGGAGGCAGCAGUGGGGAAUUUUGCACAAUGGGCGCAAGCCUGAUGCAGCGAUGCCGCGUGUGGGAAGAAGGCCUUUGGGUUGUAAACCACUUUCAAUUGGGAAGAAGGGAUGAGAGUUAAUAACUCUCUGACUUGACGGUACCUUUAGAAGAAGCACCGGCUAAUUUCGUGCCAGCAGCCGCGGUAAUACGAAAGGUGCAAGCGUUGUUCGGAUUUACUGGGCGUAAAGAGAUCGUAGGUGGUUUGUUAAGUUGGAUGUGAAAUCCCGGGGCUCAACCUCGGAACUGCAUCCAAAACUGGCAGACUUGAGUUCGGGAGGGGUAAGCGGAAUUCCGUGUGUAGCAGUGAAAUGCGUAGAUAUACGGAGGAACACCUGAGGCGAARGCGGCUUACUGGGACCGAUACUGACACUGAGGAUCGAAAGCGUGGGUAGCAAACAGGAUUAGAUACCCUGGUAGUCCACGCCCUAAACGAUGUCAACUAGCCGUUGCGGGUAUCGACCCCUGCAGUGGCGCAGCUAACGCGAUAAGUUGACCGCCUGGGGAGUACGGUCGC